RNAcentral lists this ribosomal RNA (467 nucleotides) under uncultured bacterium. Its description in RNAcentral is "partial 16S ribosomal RNA". It matches the Rfam family "Bacterial small subunit ribosomal RNA", at positions 28 to 506 of the family's 1533-position model. The record is from RNAcentral.
GACGAACGCUGGCGGCGGGCUUAACACAUGCAAGUCGAACGGAAAAGGCCUGCUUUUGUGGGGUGCUCGAGGGGCGAGAGGGUGAGUAACACGUGAGUAACCUGCCCAUGACUGGGGGAUAACUUCAGGAAACUGGGGCUAAUACAGGAGAGGAGCUCCAGCUGCAUGGUGGGGGUUGGAAAGUUUCGGCGGUUGGGGCGGGACUCGCGGUUUAGCAGCUUGUGGGGGGGGUAGUGGCGUACCCAGGCUUUGACGGGUAGACGGCCUGUGAGGGUGACCGGGUCCAUAGGGACUGGGGUACGGCCCGGACGCCUUCGGGAGCCAGCAGCGGGGACUUGUGCGCGACAGGCGGACUCCGGAUGCAGCAACGCCGCGUGCGGGAGGACUCCCUUCGGGGAGUAAACCGCUUUCGCCUGUGACGAGGCGUGAGUGCCGGUAAUGGGGAAAGAAGCCCCGCCGACCUACGG